Molecule: transfer RNA, 76 nt
Filed under: Prauserella muralis
Lineage: Bacteria; Bacillati; Actinomycetota; Actinomycetes; Pseudonocardiales; Pseudonocardiaceae
Description: tRNA-Ala
Rfam family: tRNA
About the family: Transfer RNA (tRNA) molecules are approximately 80 nucleotides in length. Their secondary structure includes four short double-helical elements and three loops (D, anti-codon, and T loops).
Source: RNAcentral
GGGGCUGUAGCUCAAUUGGUAGAGCGCCGCUUUUGCAAGGCGGAGGUCAGGGGUUCGAUUCCCCUCAGCUCCACCG